This 404-nucleotide ribosomal RNA is filed under the name uncultured bacterium. Its description in RNAcentral is "partial 16S ribosomal RNA". It matches the Rfam family "Bacterial small subunit ribosomal RNA", at positions 28 to 526 of the family's 1533-position model. The record is from RNAcentral.
GACGAACGCUGGCGGCGUGCUUAACACAUGCAAGUCGAGCGGAGCGGAGAACGGGUGAGUAACGCGUGAGUAACUUCCCCCCUCUCGGGGAUAACAGUUGGAAACGGCUGCUAAUACCGGAUAGUGGGGGAUGGCUCGCGUCCUAUCGGCUUGUUGGUGGGGUAGUGGCCUACCAAGGCGACGACGGGUAGCCGGCCUGGGAGGGCGACCGGCCUCAUAUGGCUAGGAUACUGCCCAAACGCCAACGGGGGGCAGCGGUGGGGAGUAGUCCGCAAUGGGGGGAACCAGGAAGCAGGAAUCCGCGUGCGGAAUGGCGGCCUUCGGGUUGGAAACCGCGUUCAGCCAUGAUGCGGUAGUGGCAGAAGAAGCACCGGCUAACUACGUGCCAGCAGCCGCGGUAAUUC